RNAcentral lists this ribosomal RNA (470 nucleotides) under uncultured bacterium. RNAcentral describes it as "bacterial SSU rRNA". It matches the Rfam family "Bacterial small subunit ribosomal RNA", at positions 28 to 505 of the family's 1533-position model. The record is from RNAcentral.
GAUGAACGCUGGCGGCGUGCUUAACACAUGCAAGUCGAACGGGGAACAAAUUAUUGAAGCUUCGGCAGAUCUAGCUUGUUCCUAGUGGCGGACGGGUGAGUAACGCGUGGGUAACCUGCCUCACACUGGGGGAUAACAGUCAGAAAUGGCUGCUAAUACCGCAUAAGCGCAUAGUACCGCAUGGUACAGUGUGAAAAACUCCGGUGGUGUGAGAUGGACCCGCGUUGGAUUAGCUAGUUGGCAGGGCAGCGGCCUACCAAGGCGACGAUCCAUAGCCGGCCUGAGAGGGUGAACGGCCACAUUGGGACUGAGACACGGCCCAGACUCCUACGGGAGGCAGCAGUGGGGAAUGUUGCACAAUGGGGGAAACCCUGAUGCAGCGACGCCGCGUGAAGGAAGAAGUAUCUCGGUAUGUAAACUUCUAUCAGCAGGGAAGAAAAUGACGGUACCKACUAKAGCCCCGAAACCYG